Gossypium raimondii (Peruvian cotton) is the source of this 138-nucleotide non-coding RNA. The record is from Rfam. NCBI's taxonomy places the organism in Eukaryota, Viridiplantae, Streptophyta, Magnoliopsida, Malvales, Malvaceae.
UAUUAAAAAUUUCAUCCAUUUGUACUAUUGACAAUAUUGACAGAAUAACCACAUAGUGACACAUGGUGUGCCACAUGUAUCUCAUGGUGACAUAGGAGAACCAUUUUUUUACUGCAAAAAUUGAUAGAAUUUUUAACA